GCAUCUGUAGCUUAAUUGGAUAGAGCGUCGGACUUCGGAUCCGAAGGUUGGGGGUUCAAGUCCCUCCAGAUGCGCCA
Molecule: transfer RNA, 77 nt
Filed under: Tepiditoga sp.
Lineage: Bacteria; Thermotogati; Thermotogota; Thermotogae; Petrotogales; Petrotogaceae
Also listed under: 1 other name
Description: tRNA-Arg
Rfam family: tRNA
About the family: Transfer RNA (tRNA) molecules are approximately 80 nucleotides in length. Their secondary structure includes four short double-helical elements and three loops (D, anti-codon, and T loops).
Source: RNAcentral